UUAAUUCCUGCCUUAAUUAUUUCUUAAUUAUUUCUCUUUCUCUUUUUCAUUCUAGUCGCUCUUGUUGCUGCAGUUUGUCUUUAUUUGCGAGAUGUUGCUCAAGGAGGAAAACUUAAUGAAAGUGCUCAGACUAGAAACGAGAGAAAGACACAAAGUCUGGAUAUAAAUGGCACGGACUAAUCUGACACUAAAUAAAAAGACCAAAUCUGGAACAUAGAUUAAUUCAUUCAAACAAAAAAAAAAA
Long non-coding RNA from Octopus sinensis (East Asian common octopus), 244 nucleotides. RefSeq lists it as uncharacterized. The transcript is spliced from 4 exons. The record is from RefSeq and is a predicted model, not a curated record. NCBI's taxonomy places the organism in Eukaryota, Metazoa, Mollusca, Cephalopoda, Octopoda, Octopodidae.